Long non-coding RNA from Triticum aestivum (bread wheat), 837 nucleotides. RefSeq lists it as uncharacterized. The transcript is spliced from 2 exons. The record is from RefSeq and is a predicted model, not a curated record. Lineage: Eukaryota; Viridiplantae; Streptophyta; Magnoliopsida; Poales; Poaceae.
GCUAGCUUCGUCGCCUCACAGCUGCGGCAAGACCCUGAAUUGGGCAGCAUCGCGAAGGACAAGGCCAAACUGCUGAAGGGACAUAUAACUUCACCUCUAUCGAGUCAUCACAUUGCUCAACCCAACCACAUCUCGAGAAUCUUGGAGGAGCUGGCGAGAAUCAAGGAGAAACAUCAGUUGAUGGUGAGAAUCUUGGAGGAGAAAGGGUGCAGAUUGAUGAAGAUGUUGAGGAGGUGUACGUGCAAGAAAACAUUGCUGUGGAGCCCCAGCAAACUCAACCAAAUUUGGCUACGGCACCCUCAAGAAAUGGAGAAGAGAAAGAACCAAAGAGGCGGAGGGGAGCGAAUGGUGAUGUGGCUGCAAUGAUGGAGAAGUACAUGGAAAUAAGGGCGAAGCAGGUGGAGGAUGAGAGGAAUAAGCCAAGGGUUGUGGAUGAGUACUCUAUCAAAAAUUGCAUCGAUCUGCUGAAAACAAUGGACAUCACACCUGAGGAAGAAGUCAAGGCUUUCCGAGUCUUCAAGAUCCCCAAGAACCGAGAGAUUUUCAUGAGUGCCAGACCAGAGACUACUCUUAUGUGCCUGAGAGCUGAAAAGGAAUAAGUUAGGUACUCAAAUUCUGCUUCUAUUUAAUAUGCCCGUUGUUAGCAUGUAGUUUUGAUGUACAACCUUGGUUUUCAUGGUACCCCUACUGGGACUCGCAUGUUCAUCUAGCUCACAUGAACCUGCCUUGUUCAUCUAGUAACCUGAAGCUGAUGGUUCAACUAGCUCACAUCAAAAGGUCCAUUUCUUAUUCUGGUUGUUGAUGAUAAUAAAACAAAGUUCUAUAACUUCUGCAACU